GAUGAACGCUGGCGGCGUGCCUAAUACAUGCAAGUCGAGCGAACAGACGAGGAGCUUGCUCCUCUGACGUUAGCGGCGGACGGGUGAGUAACACGUGGAUAACCUACCUAUAAGACUGGGAUAACUUCGGGAAACAGGAGCUAAUACCGGAUAAUAUAUUGAACCGCAUGGUUCAAUAGUGAAAGACGGUUUUGCUGUCACUUAUAGAUGGAUCCGCGCCGCAUUAGCUAGUUGGUAAGGUAACGGCUUACCAAGGCAACGAUGCGUAGCCGACCUGAGAGGGUGAUCGGCCACACUGGAACUGAGACACGGUCCAGACUCCUACGGGAGGCAGCAGUAGGGAAUCUUCCGCAAAGGGCGAAAGCCUGACGGAGCAACGCCGCGUGAGUGAUGAAGGUCUUCGGAUCGUAAAACUCUGUUAUUAGGGAAGAACAAAUGUGUAAGUAACUAUGCACGUCUUGACGGUACCUAAUCAGAAAGCCACGGCUAACUACGUG
This 497-nucleotide ribosomal RNA is filed under the name uncultured bacterium. RNAcentral describes it as "partial 16S ribosomal RNA". It matches the Rfam family "Bacterial small subunit ribosomal RNA", at positions 28 to 507 of the family's 1533-position model. The record is from RNAcentral.